UUGGUCUGACGCUCCACCUGGCCAGCCCUCUAGAAGUCACUCUCUUCCUCAUGAAGGAUGUGGGAGCUAAAGCAGUCUAGCAGUUGCUUCCCUAAUCUCAUGGCAUAAAAUAAUACCAAUCAGUGUUCCCCAUUUUUGGAAAGGCAUGGAGUAGGGUGGCAGUAGAAAAGUGAAGUUUAGAGUUUGUGAUUCCAUCUGAUGUUGCAGGAGGGAUUAUCCAAGAGGAAGUAAAUCUAUGACCAAUUUAGAGAUCUGGCCACAGCAACCUUGAACUUUUCUUCCACUUUGUAUCUGAAAAUCUAUAAGCUGAGACCAGAAAGAUGCAGGCGGCAUCUCCCACCCCUUUAGCUGAUCUUUAUCCACUCUAUUCCUUCUCUAUAGUUACAACUCCACAGGGAUCCCAGUCUUUUACUUUUCCCUUAGCACCAUUCACUAAGGAGAGAUUUGGAGUCUUUCAAGGUAGAAUUCUGAGGGGAACAAUAAUGGCACUGCAUAUUUUCAUUAAGAGGACUCCUCGCCUCAGAAUACCAGAAGUUAUGCUAUAACCAGGACAUAAUCUGAGAGUAAUGCCAUUGUGAAGUCCAUAAAUAUGAUAUCUAGGGUAAUGAGGACCUUCUAUGAAGUCACGUAAAAUCAAGGUUGGGCCAGGGCUUAAGCUUCCUGAAAGCCUGAGAGUCCUAGAUUACCGUGACUCAUUCAAAGGGUACUUAGAAGAUAGAAUUCUGCUCCUAGGAACUUGUACACUCCUGACACAGCAUCUCCUGGGAUCCAUUGCUGGAAAUCAUGAGUUCACCAGGUAAUUAUGGAAACUGGCCAGCCAGCUCUAGCAUUCCAAGACUAACCUUGUGCAAGCAGAAAGUCCACGGUUCCUAGAUGGCCUUCGGAAGCAGCCAUCAUCAGCGGAGUGCGGCCCUGCUUGUCUGCCAUGUUGACAUCCGCUCCAUGGGUGAGUAAAAGAUCAACAAUCUGCAAGUGCAGAGAAACAGGGACCAAUUAGCCCAAAGAAGAGCUGCUGAGAAGACACGUGCACACUAUCUCUUACUCUGUAGGAAUUCCUACUGCUGUACGAGUCACCCAUGUAUUUUUCCACUUCCCCCAUAAGUACCUGUAUAGUCCUAGUACCAUGUGAUUUAAUCUCUCUCUUAGGGACAGUCAAAUGAGAAGGAUUCAACUCUCAAUGUCUGACUCAGCUACUAGUAAAAAAGAACUUAACAAAGGCCAAGAUGUAGGAUUAAACAAUCCCAUAGCGGAAGUUCCAACAUAAAUCACUCCUUUAUUGCCCUCUAGUGGUUGCAAAUCUGCCUGUAGUUAAUACUUGCGACUGAACUGAACAUAAUCAAGUGACUCUGGUAACUCUUUAGGGCUGUUUGGCUUCUACAGCCUUUUUUCUAUUGAAAUACUUCUGAAGAUUAUUAUCAGUGUGCUUUCCUUUCCAUCCUAAGUGUAUAAAUUAACAUUUAUCCAGAAUCCAAACAUCUAAAAGGAUUGUGUUGUUAGAAUUUGCAUUCACUGUAUUUUCUUUUAGUAAGUCUCAGACAUCUGCAAGUAAGUGAUUAGCAGAAGUCCGCUGAGAAAUGAACCUUCCAAGGAGUCUUUGGAUGCUGUGAAAUGUGAGAAGGAGGUCACUCUAUCACCAGGACAUAAGUAGUUAGUCCUUCUAUACAAUCUGUAUCAAGUGAUGGUUUUGAAUGUUAACUGUUGUAUUCUCAAUUAACCAGAAUAUUCAUAACAAAGGUCCAAGUCCUCAAACCUGAUCACUGCUGGGUAACCCAAACUUUACUUGUGAUCAUUUUGCUCUGUGCAUCAGAAGUCCUCACCUAGAACUCAGUCCUGCCUGAGGGACUGGAAGUGGUCGCCCUGCUUACCUGCCAGUGGCCCUGGCGCACUGUGCUGAAUAGUGGCACUGCUCCUCGGCGGUUUGGCUGGGCCACUGCCGCCCCUUGUUCCAAGAGCAAACGGCACACCUCCAGUUUGCCCCUUCCGGCUGCAGCUGUUAGGGCUAAGGGCAGAGAACAAAGAUUGAGGAUAGGUGGUUCUGGUCCUCUCCAGCGCUCCAUGUUAAACGUGACAUAUCCUUGUGUUUCAUUAAUGUAAUUGCUACUUUACUUCUAAGAAUAAUGAUUUUUGCCACCUUUUCCAUAAAGAAAAGUUCUAAAGAAAAAUAAUGAAUAAAGACACAUUUAAAUUGCCUCACAAUAUUUGCAGACAAUAAUAAUAAAUCUAUAGAAAAUUCACCUUUAAUCAAACUCACUUGGUUUCAUUUUUCCUAACCAGACUGUCUUCUCUGCUUUGGUCUACCUCUCCUUUGGUACCUCUUCCUAGCUACAAACUCUGUUAGUCUACGUGUGGGUGCAAUCUAAAGACAAGAGUCUUUGCAGAGAUAAAAAGUUUUUUUUGUUUUGUUUUGUUUUAGAAUUAGCUGGGAACUACCUCCAGCCAAGCUCUACCCCUGGGCUCUUAAGCCUAGAGAACCAAAGUUAGGAAUUGCAGUCCAAGGUCUUGGGCCAGUUUUCAUUCUUUUUCUUCAUUAGUUGAUACAGAAGUUUCUGGUACAUUUGCAAUCAUUUUUAUUAUAAGGAUUUGAAUGAUUCAAGGUAGCAGUCUUAAAGAUGAGAGAAGAGGUAUGACAAAGACUAUUUUCUUCUGAAUAUAAAAUAAUGAAGUCACAGGUAAAAAUAGCUACAGUGAGUUUAAGAGACACAUUAGGAAAAAAACAGAAACAUUUUUCUUUUUGUGCCACUGUCCACUGACAAUAUGAUCUCUGAUACAAAGGAGAUUUUACGAACGCCUAUUUUGUCCUCAGAGUGUCAUUUCAACAGUAGAAAGAGGAGUUUGGAGAUAUGAAGUCUAUCUUUUAACAAAUAUGUAUUUGUUUCAUUUAACCAUGGGCUCUCAGGUGCACAAGUCUAUUGUUUUAAAAAAUGAGGGGUAUGGAGGAUGGAAACACUGUUAGAACAUGUAGGAGUUAUACUUCAUUUUAAAGAAAGAGGAUAAAGAUUUUUUUUUCCAAAUUGACUUAAAAAAUUGAUGUAGUAGUCAGCAGGUUCUUCUUUCAUUAUGGCCUCCUACUCCAGUAACAAACCAGAAAAUGAUAAUAUUUGGCAGGCACAGAUACUGCAGUUUGCAAACUUUAAAACGUAUUCAGAGAAGCAAGUAAAAUUUACAUCAAAUGGACAUUUGCAUUCAUUUCCACUUAAGUGCAAAUUAUGGCAUUUUGUCUCUGGACUUGGCCAAAUUUAUCCACUACUGAGUCAUAUGCAAAAUGAAAACUACCUGUAAUUUCCGCAAGUAUAAACCUUCAAGUAACAUUUUCCUUCCUUCUGCAAGGAUAAGAAGGACUUAUGAAGUAAAAUGUGGUAAUUUUAGAAGAUACAUGCACUCUUAAACCAGUUCUAUCUAUGGCUUGUCUUACGUGUAUUUUCAAUUUUAGUUGGAACUCCUGACAUUGGCAUUUCUUUUCAGUUCCUUACAGGAGGGCAGUGGCAUGGUCCUAUCUGAGGUGAGGGUCAUUUCCAACCCUGAGUGGGUGAGCUCAGGUGUUAAUGGCUAUAAUUAUUUCCUGGACAAAGAAGUUUUAUCUCUUGUUUUUUAAAUAUAAGUGAUGUUCCCUCUUUCUCAAGUUCAUAUUUCUAAAAGGUUAGAAAACAAAUUGUGAGUUCUAUAUAUGGGUCAGAACACAAGAGUAGUUUAAUAAUUUGACUGGAUAGACACUUAUUAGGAACCAUAAGAAUUAUCUCGGUGCAUAAAACAAACCAUUUGGAAAAUUUCUAACCCACAUUCUAAACCCGUUUAAAGUAGUUACUAGGUUGAUAAGGUUGCAGCAAACCUCUGUAUGUGAGGGUGCCAAAUACAUUAUUUUUCACGAAAGAGGUUACAGCAUCCUGGAGAAAAUACAGAAUUUCAGAAUGAAGCCUCUCACUAAUGAUGCCAGUUCACAGAACACAUCUGAAUAUUCACAACCAGUGACCAUCUGGAAAGCCAUACUGUCCAGUCUGACAAUUCUAUGGCUCUGGCUGCCCCAUUUCUCCCCACUGGAUAACACAUUUACAUGUGAGGGAAUGUUCCAUUUGGCCUUUUUCUUUGUUGUAUCAUCUCUGUUGUUUAGGUUAUGAUGUCAUUUGGCAGCAACCUUCAGCUGAUAGCUGGACAUGGUUAACACAGCUGGCCAAUUUCAUCUCAGAACAACACAACUAUGUAAAAUGGAGUCUGGGCUUUUCAAAAUCCAAGAGCAAGGAGUUGUAUGGCUGGAUUUUAUAUGAGAUUUAUCGAAAACUGUUAAAACUUUCUAAAAGAAAGGAGAUGAAGGUAAAGCCAAUUCUAUAAAACACCAAACUGCAAACAGAGCAGUUAGGAGCCAACUUUCUUCCUAAAAGAGCAGUAACAGAAUUUGUUUCCUAGCUUGUCAGCAUCUGACGAGAUGACCUGACAGAAAUGGUCUUUUUUCAACGGGAAACAUCUAAGGAGUUGGAAGAGGCAGACAGGAUGUAGCUCAGAGUUGGGGAAACAGCCAGACUCUGCUUGGAUGGGAUGCUGACACUAAAGAGAACGCAGAGAUACACAUGACUCUUUCAUCUACUUUCAACCAUGGAAGAGUCCAGCACAGACAGGUCAUGGUUGGCCUCCAGAGUUGCUAGAAGCUCUCAGCACUGGUCCUGGUCUGUGCCCACAACACAAGGGAGAGGAGGGUGUGGUGAACAAUCUUGUCACCUUGUUUGCUUUUCUUCUGUGGUGUUCCCUAAGAAGUCUGUGAAAACUCUACGGGAUGGGAGGGGGUCAGCAGAUAGUGAAAGCUGGAUGUAAGAUGAUGACAUCUGGAAAGAUAAAGAGGCUGCAAAUGGAAGACGAAAGCAACCAGGAUGCUCCAGUGAUCUGCCUUCAGAAAAUCUAAUAUGUAAAAAUCACAUCCCAAUUAAUAUUCUAAGAUUCACUUUCUCCCUCUACAUUUUAACAUCUCUGAAAUUGGAAUGCAUCUUACAAUUAAUGUGAUAAUAAAGAAUUGUGUCAGUAUAGUUGGCAGAAGUUGUUUGUUUUUGUAGUGGCACAUAAAAUAAUGGCUAC
This is a long non-coding RNA of Pan troglodytes (chimpanzee), 5058 nucleotides long. RefSeq lists it as uncharacterized. The record is from RefSeq and is a predicted model, not a curated record. Lineage: Eukaryota; Metazoa; Chordata; Mammalia; Primates; Hominidae. The transcript is spliced from 3 exons.